CUAGCAUAUCAAUAAGCGGAGGAAAAGAAACCAACAGGGAUUGCCCUAGUAACGGCGAGUGAAGCGGCAACAGCUCAAAUUUGAAAUCUGGCGUCUUUGGCGUCCGAGUUGUAAUUUGCAGAGGGCGCUUUGGCAUUGGCAGCGGUCCAAGUUCCUUGGAACAGGACGUCACAGAGGGUGAGAAUCCCGUACGUGGUCGCUAGCCUUUACCGUGUAAAGCCCCUUCGACGAGUCGAGUUGUUUGGGAAUGCAGCUCUAAAUGGGAGGUAAAUUUCUUCUAAAGCUAAAUACUGGCCAGAGACCGAUAGCGCACAAGUAGAGUGAUCGAAAGAUGAAAAGCACUUUGGAAAGAGAGUUAAAAAGCACGUGAAAUUGUUGAAAGGGAAGCGCUUGCAGCCAGACUUGCCUGUAGUUGCUCAUCCGGGUUUCUACCCGGUGCACUCUUCUAUAGGCAGGCCAGCAUCAGUUUGGGCGGUUGGAUAAAGGUCUCUGUCAUGUACCUCCUUUCGGGGAGAACUUAUAGGGGAGACGACAUGCAACCAGCCUGGACUGAGGUCCGCGCAUCUGCUAGGAUGCUGGCGUAAUGGCUGUAAGCGGCCCGUCUUGAAACACGGACCAAGGAGUCUAACAUCUAUGCGAGUGUUUGGGUGUCAAGCCCGAGCGCGUAAUGAAAGUGAACGGAGGUGGGAACCUUUCGGGGUGCACCAUCGACCGAUCCUGAUGUCUUCGGAUGGAUUUGAGUAAGAGCAUAGCUGUUGGGACCCGAAAGAUGGUGAACUAUGCUUGAAUAGGGUGAAGCCAGAGGAAACUCUGGUGGAGGCUCGCAGCGGUUCUGACGUGCAAAUCGAUCGUCAAAUUUGGGCAUAGGGGCGAAAGACUAAUCGAACUAUCUAGUAGCUGGUUCCUGCCGA
Molecule: ribosomal RNA, 911 nt
Filed under: Heterophoma adonidis
Lineage: Eukaryota; Fungi; Ascomycota; Dothideomycetes; Pleosporales; Didymellaceae
Description: LSU rRNA
Rfam family: Eukaryotic large subunit ribosomal RNA
Source: RNAcentral